This 363-nucleotide long non-coding RNA is filed under the name Helianthus annuus (common sunflower). RNAcentral describes it as "hypothetical non coding rna". The record is from RNAcentral. Lineage: Eukaryota; Viridiplantae; Streptophyta; Magnoliopsida; Asterales; Asteraceae.
CCACAUUAUAAAAAACAGUUUGAAUACCAUGUUUUACAGACACACAGCUUGGCAAUACCGAGGAACUUUGUUCGAGAACACCAGCUAAAUGAUUACCGUAAAGCUGUGCUGUCAUUUGGUCAUGUGAAGUUUUUGGUACAGCUGGUUGUUAGGAGAGAUCCUAGAACACCUGACGACAACAACCAUCUAGUGAUGCAUACAGACUGGCAGCGUAUCAUGGAUGAAACGGGAAUAUCUGUGGGGAAAAAGCUGAGGUUUAAGAUAGUCGAAGAAAAAAGUGUAAGAGGAGAUAAAAUACACUUUGAAGUUUGUUGACAUGAUCUUUGAACACCUUUUCAGCCUUGUAUAAUUUAUGUUUUAGUU